CACCCCACACCUCGCCCCACCUCUUUCCCAGAUCCUCCCCGCCAGCCACCACCCUCGACCUGUGCCUCCGUCGCCGGACCGCCGCGCCCCCGCUCCAGGCGCUCGGGCCGCCCCGUCCACGCGCUGCCCGGGCCGCCGCGCCCUCCCUGCCUUUCCUCACGCUUCCUCCCCCCGCCGCCGCCGCUCCCUCUUCCGCGGGUCGCCGUGCUCCCUCUCUGUAGCCACGGCCACUCGCUCCACCAGACGCUCGAUGCCCAUGUGGCGCUGCUGUCGCACGCAGCGACAAAGGGUUCCACGGCGGAGACAUGGAAGAAGGAUGACGGGGGUGGGGCCAUUGCCAUAGAUGAGCGCAGCCCCGAGCAGAUCCGAUUAGGAUCCUUCUCUCCAUCUCACUCUCUUUGUGCCUUCUCCCCUCUCUGCUCUCCCGUCUCUCUCAAUCUGCAGCAAGGUGUCGCGGGCUCGCGGCUGUGACGCCGGCGGCGGUAGAAACCACCACACCCUCUGCAUCCAAUUUCUCUUUCUAACGUCUCUGUGCAUCAGCAGGUUUUAGUAGACGAUCCAGAUUGAGAAGGUCACAUGAGUUUGCCAGCAGCACCCAUCUGUGUAUGCUCAAUUACCUAUCAGUAAAGAUAUACAUAUCAUUUGGUGGAAUAUCUGAGGAGCAAUCGUAUCACAAGGAUGCACAUGCAGAACAAGCCCGGUUGUCAAAGGUUCAAAUACUGUGUACUUAAUGAGUUGUAUUUUGUGAAUCCUUAUUACUGUGUUUCAUGAAUCUAGACAAUGGUAAUACUAAUCCAGACUUUGUCGGUAUGGAUGAUGUUGUAGCCGCAAUUGAGCCUCCACCUCCUAUGUUUUUUGAAGGGCUUGGGAAUGACACUAAUAAAGUGGAUGGGCAAGCUCAAACCAACGAGGUUACGAUGUGAUUAAUUUCUUAGAAGUUCAUAUAUGUUCUGCUUCGUGUCAUCUUUAGUGCUUCAAGGGCAAACGGCUAGAUUCAAUUUGGAGCAUCGCGGGAAGGAGCAGGCAGCAGCGGCAAUACACUGAGGGUGGAGCAGCAGAGUCACCUGAUCUACCAGUAUGUCUGAUUGAUGCUGCCCACUGCUCCAUCAGCUUGCAUCCAGCAUCUCUAAAUUAGCAUUAUGUCAGGUUCUCGAUAUAUUUGCAAUGGAUUAAACAAUGGGCCUCUCUUGAUUCACACAUGUUCACAUUUCAAGCUAUUUGAUGGUAAAUCUUGAAUUUUAUUUUCUUAUAUUUUUUUAGCGGAUUAAUUAGAACUGAUUUGGUUUCUGAUUUGUUUGGGCGAGUGCAACAGCUUGCGAAGCUUUACCACUAAUCCACAGUCACUAUGUAACAAUUAAAAGGUGACUGAUAGCUCCAAUAGAUGCAUAUUUAAUAUUUAUUUCUGCACAUCAUUUAGACAGGUGGUUCCAUUUGAUACAUUUAGGAAAAGUACGGUCUUUUCCGACUUUAGUUAAUAUCUAUAUUGUUUCUUUGCUAUAAUAGGCAGGUCUGGAAACACAUGCUAAUAUAAGGCUUGAAUUGCACAUGUAUUGUCUUAUUAAUCAUGCACAUUUUGGAGCAUGAUUAUUUUCAAAUGGUUUGUCUAACAAUACUGAGGAGACCUGCAUGUCUGUCAACAUUCUUAAUAUGGAACCAUUAGAUGAUGGAUGACCAUUUUUUGCAAUAUCCGACUGACUAAUUGUACAAUUGAUAAGACAAGGGUUCGACUUACUUCCCUCUGCAAACAUCUUCUUUGCUCAAGUAAUUCAAGGUAUGUUUCAUUGCUCAUUUAGGAUGGCUGCUGAACCUCUUUGUGAACCAAGGAAGAAGUUCUCUAUACAAAAAUAACUUAGUUCUACAUUGAAAUUUUCACAUAUGGAUAAUUCAGUAACAAAAAAAUUUGAUUAAUCGAGUUGGGAGAUGUCACACAACACCAUUUGCUCAUAAUUGUUAUCUAUUUGAUCCUCGUGGCAGUCCUAUAUGUCAUGAAUAAUUGAGUCAUAUGUUGAUGCAUAUAUAGUUUGACUGUGCACUUGCACGUGUGCAACGUUCCAAAAGGAUAAUUCAUAACCUAGCAAUUUUAGAUAUCUAUGAACUUCAGUAUGUGCCAUCACGGUCUCAACAGGAUAUGGUACUCUGUUUUGAUUUUUUAUCAAAACCUAAUUAUCAAUUUAUAUAUGUGCGUACAAUCUUUAACCAUUAUAGCUGACGAUCUUUAACGUGUUUCAUCAUCUGUAGGCUGUGCAAUGUGAGAUAAUCAUGUAUGGUGUUACCGAAUGGGCUGGAAAGUUUCUAAAUUAUGAGCUCUGCAUGAUUAAGCGGCGUCGGGACCUGUACUUCAUUUAAUGCAGAGCAAGAAAGGAACAUCAAAGAAGCUGUUAAAAUGGAUGGGAGAAUUUGCUAAAACAUGUUUACCUAUUUUUUUAAAGAUUAAGUGUAUUCUAGAAAGAAAAUAAUUGUAUGUUUCAUGGAGUAACAAAUCAGGAACUGUGCAGGUAUGUGUUCAUCUUGAUGGGAGUUUGUCCGAGAUGCUGGGCGAGGGGAUUGUUUCCGCACUGCAUGUAUCCAAGUGUUUAGGGAUGCCUUUUGCGAACAAAUUUAGUUUUUUUUUGAGCGAGGAAAUUGAUACUUUUUUUGUGAAUGUAUUCGAGUGGGUGAAAUACUCCCCAUUUGUCUCGAGAGGUCCAGGUGUGGAAGCUUAGCACUGGGUUUGUCAUUAUUGAGGCAAGAAUAGUUUGAAUAUGCACACUUUCAUUAUGUA
Long non-coding RNA from Triticum dicoccoides, 2761 nucleotides. RefSeq lists it as uncharacterized. NCBI's taxonomy places the organism in Eukaryota, Viridiplantae, Streptophyta, Magnoliopsida, Poales, Poaceae. The transcript is spliced from 3 exons. The record is from RefSeq and is a predicted model, not a curated record.